GAUGAACGCUAGCGACAGGCCUAACACAUGCAAGUCGAGGGGCAGCACAUGAGUAGCAAUACGAUGGUGGCGACCGGCGCACGGGUGAGUAACACGUAUGCAACCUGCCUGUAAGCGGGGGAUAACCCGGAGAAAUUCGGACUAAUACCGCAUAAUACUGUGAAUUUGCAUGAAUUUACAGUUAAAUAUUUAUAGCUUACAGAUGGGCAUGCGUAUGAUUAGAUAGUUGGUAGGGUAACGGCCUACCAAGUCAACGAUCAUUAGGGGUUCUGAGAGGAAGGUCCCCCACACUGGUACUGAGACACGGACCAGACUCCUACGGGAGGCAGCAGUGAGGAAUAUUGGUCAAUGGGCGAGAGCCUGAACCAGCCAAGUCGCGUGAAGGAAGACGGUUCUAUGAAUUGUAAACUUCUUUGUAGAGGAAUAAAGUGGGUUACGUGUAGCCUUUUGUAUGUACUUUACGAAUAAGGAUCGGCUAACUCCGUGCCAGCAGCCGAC
RNAcentral lists this ribosomal RNA (498 nucleotides) under uncultured bacterium. RNAcentral describes it as "bacterial SSU rRNA". It matches the Rfam family "Bacterial small subunit ribosomal RNA", at positions 28 to 518 of the family's 1533-position model. The record is from RNAcentral.